Molecule: transfer RNA, 91 nt
Filed under: Annulohypoxylon moriforme
Lineage: Eukaryota; Fungi; Ascomycota; Sordariomycetes; Xylariales; Hypoxylaceae
Description: tRNA-Glu
Rfam family: tRNA
About the family: Transfer RNA (tRNA) molecules are approximately 80 nucleotides in length. Their secondary structure includes four short double-helical elements and three loops (D, anti-codon, and T loops).
Source: RNAcentral
ACCAUUAUCGUCCAGCGGUUAGGAUGCCAGAUUUUCAAAUAAUUCAAACUUGAAUCCUCUGGAGACCGGGGUUCGAUCCCCCGUAAUGGUA